Molecule: ribosomal RNA, 504 nt
Filed under: uncultured bacterium
Lineage: Bacteria
Description: bacterial SSU rRNA
Rfam family: Bacterial small subunit ribosomal RNA
Source: RNAcentral
UGAGUAACACGUGGGGAAUCUGCCUAUAAGUGGGGGAUAACAUUCGGAAACGGAUGCUAAUACCGCAUAUAUUCGAAAACCGCAUGGUUUCUGAAAGAAAGACGGCUUUGCUGUCGCUUAUAGAUGAUCCCGCGGCGUAUUAGUUAGUUGGUGGGGUAACGGCCUACCAAGACCAUGAUACGUAGCCGACCUGAGAGGGUGAUCGGCCACACUGGGACUGAGACACGGCCCAGACUCCUACGGGAGGCAGCAGUAGGGAAUCUUCCACAAUGGGUGCAAACCUGAUGGAGCAAUGCCGCGUGAAUGAAGAAGGUCUUCGGAUCGUAAAGUUCUGUUAUUAGAGAAGAACAAGUCAAGGAGUAACUGUCUUGACUUUGACGGUACCUAACCAGAAAGUCACGGCUAACUACGUGCCAGCAGCCGCGGUAAUACGUAGGUGACAAGCGUUGUCCGGAAUUAUUGGGCGUAAAGGGAGCGCAGGCGGUUGGAAUAGUCUGAUGUGAA